AAUACAAACUUCUCCAUUAUAAAUUAUAGUUCACGUAUACCACCACAUAGUGUCACGUGGAUCAUCAUCCCUAAUUGACACAUUAUUUUUCAAACAUUUCCCUAUCUCUGCUUUAACCUAACCCCAAAUCUAAAAAUAAAGAAUGAACUAGGAAUCUACUCUAAUCACGUUCAGAAGUUUGAAAGCCAAAUAGAAACUUGGCUCAGUACUAUGCAGCAGCUGAUAAUAACUACAAUUGCUUUGGCUAAGUGAAAAGAAAGAAAAGAAAAUGCAGAACUGUGCGCUAGGCCUGAUGUAUUGGCAUUAAGUAGUUGAUCAGCGGCCUUCAGAACAAGUGAAGAGGAAUAUCCGAGGGAAGUGCCAUCUCCGAGACGUGCCUAUACUGUAUAAAGAAUCAAAAGGAGAGGGUUAAUCAUGAAAUUCAUAGUGAUUUGCCUUGUAAAACAAUGUGGGUGAUCACAAUUAGGACCCAGCGCAAAAUAGAAGAGAGGAACUAGACGGAUGUACCUUGGGCUUCUUGAACUUGUCUGUAACGCCUCGCAAGUCCCUUCCUUUUUUGC
RNAcentral lists this long non-coding RNA (560 nucleotides) under Linum usitatissimum (flax). Its description in RNAcentral is "long non-coding RNA (LUSI_LNC007209)". Lineage: Eukaryota; Viridiplantae; Streptophyta; Magnoliopsida; Malpighiales; Linaceae. The record is from RNAcentral.